CUGAUAGUGCUGGAGACUGAAUUCCUUUAUUUAUCCAGAGAACAGAUACAGCAUGUGUAGUGCAAGCUUCCACCAUGCUGCUACUUGUGUCUCAACCUUGACCUUGAGGGAUGUUUUUCUUAGUCUUUCUUUCCUCAUCCAUAUAUGGGAGUU
Molecule: small RNA, 153 nt
Filed under: Chrysemys picta bellii (western painted turtle)
Lineage: Eukaryota; Metazoa; Chordata; Testudines; Emydidae
Description: TUC338 (ENSCPBG00000016475.1)
Source: RNAcentral